CUCUCUACAUAGUAUACUCUUAUGCUCACUUCAAGAAAUUAUGAUUUUUAAUUUUAUAUCGAUAUGAAAAAUUUUUUAAACAUAAAAUAAUAUGGUAAGAUGGUACUUACUCAAUAAAAUCUUCAAUUUUUUCAUAAUUAUUUAGAACGUAAAAGUUUAUCUUGGAUAGCUCGUUCACAUCCAUAAAUUCAUAUCUCUUUACACCAAU
This 208-nucleotide long non-coding RNA is filed under the name Elaeis guineensis (African oil palm). Its description in RNAcentral is "long non-coding RNA (EGUI_LNC057424)". Lineage: Eukaryota; Viridiplantae; Streptophyta; Magnoliopsida; Arecales; Arecaceae. The record is from RNAcentral.